CAUGGUUACUAAACCAACGUGAUCGAGAUGCAUUCUGCACAACCGCCAAUAGGUGGCAGAUAUCGCUAGUAUAACAGUUGAGAUUGAUUUUCAUUGCGUCUUUUCUUAAUGAGGCGUGUCUGAGGAAGCACCGUAACCGAGCUGAAGAACCACCCGGAUUAAGAAGUGUACACAUGUAGUGACCUGAGGAGCCAUUUCAUCGAGGAUGCCUCGUGUGAGCUCAGGUCAACAUAGCAUGGACUGGGAUUGAAGCAGCUGUGGCAUCGGCCCUGAGGACAUCGGACGACAAUUUCACUCCACACGUGAUUCAGAUAAGACAACCCCCCCCAAUUUGUUUAUUUUAAGAGCUGAACAUUUUAUUUUGUUGUACAUAGUGUUAAUGUUGCCAGUUUUUACAAACACUUUCUCUGAACAUUUGCAAAGGGGCGUCCAUAGGCUGAGGAAGAAGCUUUUUGGUGAGUAUCUGGAUAAAGGUGCAGAUGCAGGACUUCAGUUGUUAGCGUUGGUCAUCAUCUGUGAACGAGAAAGUAGUCUUAACUAGCUAGCAAGCUCGCAAAGGAACCACAUUGCAAACACUGCAUGGUCACAACAUCGCUAACAUGCUAAGCUAUGUAGUUAAACUUUGCCCUAGAGGGCGUGAGCGAGCACGUGACUGCGUCACAACACGUUACAACUGGCAAGUGCAAAAAAAAAAGCGUGCCAUUCAAAAAAAAAAAAAAAAAAAAAAACACACACACACAUAUAAUAGGAUUAUUGUGUUUGUUUGUCACGGUGGAUGAAAAUAAAUACACUUUUAGCUCAGACACACAUUAUCACCAAAAACACACAUUUGCAUAUUUCUUUAUAUAAAUCUUUUUUAAUUGGUGCAUUAAUAACGUCGGAGUUGAUGACAAAAACGGGGAAAAAAAUGCCAAGCGAGGCUGCGCUAAAGUGAUGCCUGAGUGGGAGGGAAUGCUGGGGGAAAAAAAGGCUAACAGUCAUUCAGAAUGUUGUGGGUGCUGUUUGUCUUACUGUGUGUCAACAACAAUAAUAACACAAAGACGACAAGGCUCCUUCUACAACAUUGUCCUUUUCCUAGCCUGUCUCACACACACGCACGCACUCUGAAGUUGGCAAUAAUAUGGAAGUUGGCAGGAGGAAAGGUCAUUUUAAUGACUGCAGGAGCCAACAAACUUUUACAAUAUAUUUUAUUUUCAAGCUAAUUUAUUUUUGCUUAUAUUAAAAUGUAAAUUCCAUUUUUUUGGAUUGGAGACAAAUAUCUUUGUAUACCUCUCUAAAAUAUCACAACUAUGACUAUUAUGACUAGGUUGCGUUGGUGUAAAACUGCAGCGUUUCGCUGAACUUGAUGAUAAAAAAACCUCAAACAAAGAACGUAUUUAUUAAAAGAAUAACUACAGACCAAAAAAUUCCAUAAUUCAAACUGCAGUCACAUUGAUUAGGUUAUUUAAUCAUUUCAACUAAGAAGCAAUACUUGGGUCUUGAGGCUAACAAAUUAUGAAUUGAACUGAAUACAAAGACAAAAACAUAGUAAAAAUAUAUAGACUAUAUAUAUGCACACCACGUCAAGCUACCACUCUGUUAUGACGGCAGCACAAUAACGUCCCCACAGAGUCUGCCGCUCUUCAAUAACUUUAUUCUGACCUGAACACAUAAACAGCAGUGCAAUUCCAACAGCAUAUACGUACCUCCAACAGACAAACACGGCUCUAGUCCUCCCCGGAACACAACAACGUCUUUAUUACGCGUGUACGUGUGGUCUAAAUAAACAGAAAUGCAGAGAAAAACAGCAAUUGGAUAUCGUUAUCACUCGCUAACGUAACUCUCGGUGCCGAAGUACAAUUUGCUGCAUUUAAGUAUGCUCGGAAAUCCCAGAAAAUAUACAGUAUCUACACUCCAAAUGUGAAGUCAACAUAUAGCAGGUCAAGCUAUUAAGAUGCUAUAUAAAACACCAUAAAAAGGGCAUGUUUCACACAGUUACACAUGAUCAAUCAAGAUUCAUUCGAAAAUUGUGAUGAUUUUGAUUAUAAUUUAUAAUCAUUUGACAGUCCUACUAACCCCUAAAAUUAAAAAUACCUAUAAAUCAAACUCAAUUCGAAAUGAAUACAACAAAAAAAACUACAUUAAAAACGCAAAAAGUAAUGGAUCUUUGUGACCAUUUGUGGAGUUGCUGUGGUUUUUGCCUGGUAGUGAACUUCCUAACUCAACAGUCCCAACUGUGACAACUGAUCCUGUGUGUUUACAAAGUCUCCGUGGAGACAAGUGUCUAAGCUAGUGUCUUUUAUUUUUAGGGUUUCCGACGUGUGUGAUGUUUGUCGGCGUGAUGCGUACAUAAAUAACACAAGUCGGAAUAACCGCGUGUGUGGUGAUUGAGCGCGAGUCUUGCCGACAGUGGUGAUCAGGAAGUGAUGACAGCCUAUGAUUGUCAAAAGGCUCCUCACUGAGUGGCGGGAAGGCCUCAUUUUCCACUUUUACACCCCCCACCCCAUCCUCACUCCUCCUUGCUGCUGUCACGUCUCUUUGUAACGACGCCGAUGGUCGGCUUAACUUGGAGCGAAGGUAAAGACGGCACCCGGCGCUCAAUCACGGCGCUGAGGCCGUUGUGGGUGUCACACGUUAAUACUCCCGUCCUGAAGUGACAGCGUGGAGCUAAAAGUGGGAGCUCAGGAGUGGAGUUUGACACAUGAAGCGAGCUAGGCUGGACAGUUUGGACAGGGACGAUACGAGGGAGGACGCUAAAACCUAAAAAAAAAAAAAAAACUUGUACAGCACAGCAACAGGUAUUUUUUACUGUACUACUGUAGUAAAAAAACAUUCAAUGAGGUUAAUGUGGGCUAAAACCGAAAUGCUCCAGUUGAUGCAGCUUAUAGUCGACGGGUGCGUCUACCAAAACAAAUAAGCACAGGGGUCUCUAAUUAGGUAAAAAAAAAAAAAAAAGCUGUGGCUGUAGAGAACCAGGACUUUAGGGAGCCGUGGACACCUCGCUUGUCCGAUGGCGAUGCCAACCUAAUUUUCCUCUGAAAUGUUUUUCAGGUCAAAUUGGAAAAGGAUUUUUGUUCUUUCAGGAAACGGCAUUCUAGGUGCCCUGAAACGUUAUUUUUAAAAAACUGCUUCCAGAGUGGAAAAAUCCGAAAACGGCGGCUUGUGACGUCCCCGACCCACCGCCACCUCGUCGCCGUCACGUGACCAGAAGUGAGCUUUGACGACAAGUCAGCAUAAUCAACAUUCUCCUGACAUUUUGUCCUCUUAUACUUCAUAAUAACUCGCAGAAGUAAUUCCUCUUCUUGUAAGUCGGAGACAGCAGACUUCUGCACAUGCAUUCUUUCUUCCUCUAUGGUUUGGUGUGUCAUGUGGUUCAGUGUGCAUGUCUGUUCACAGCGCCACAUGUAGGUGUGCCUUGUGUAUUACAUAGUUUUCACUGAAUGAUCCGUUCCCAUCUGGAUGCAACUAUUUACCAAUCCCGCACUGUGUGGACACACAUUUGUUUCAACCAGCCAAAUUAGAAAUCUCCAACUUUUGACUUUUUUGAUGAAAAGCAAUGUGUUAUCCUCAUAACAUUGCAACUUUCUUCUUGAUUCUACCUUAUUCCUCCCUGCAGGCCUGCAUUUCCUGCCUCCUGACAGCGCCGCUAUGCCGGCGUCUUUGCAUAAUGCGGAUGCUCCGAGUGGAGGUCGUAUGAAACUCCUUGGACAUGUUGUCAGGAUCUCGCCGUGUAGGUUUGGACUAAUGAUGGCACGCCGGCCAGCCCGCUGCCCUCAGCAUAUGCCCACUCUCACCUAGUGUGUAUGUGUGGACAGCCGUGGAGUGGGGGGUGGGGGGGGGGGGCAGGGUUCGUCAUGCUGAUUAAAAGCAAACCCCCUCCCUCCUCUCUAACAAAGCCCCUCAGAGGAAGACAGCAGGGAACACGAAGCGGUGUCAGGUCGGCCCGGGUGAGGCCACUGGAUGGGUGUCACCUGAAUUUAGCCGCCUAAUAUGACAGCCAAGUCCUGAUGGCUUGUCUGCGACGUGUCACUUUGGCCGACUUUGGGCCUUAUUCUCAUGCAAAUGCUUUUUGGACGCCACGUGAAUGAGACUCGUCACAGCGGCCGAGGCUCUCAAGUGCGUGACAGUAGUUACUCGCCACAAGAAACACGCGCGACAUUUGACAUUCAAACCAGGAAUGGGGGGGGAAGAAGAAUAAUGAGGAAGUGGCAGGAAGAGACACCGUAAGACAGUCUAACCUAUUUAUUUUUUCACCAGAUGCCAUCAGUGCGUCUCCAAAGGGAGGGUGAUGUCACUGUCUGCAUUGUGGUCAACCUGGACACGUCCAAAGCAUACUUUUCAUGUCCACAUUAAGACUAGUCAUGUCCUUAUUAGACACAUUUUUCCAACAUCGCUGGCAAGCUAGGAUGUGAGAGCGACGUGGACGAGUCAAUUCAGGAGAAAGUUCAAGGUUCAGUUUUAAAACUUUCAAAAUUUGAGAUAAUUGGUUGCAGGGAUUGAAGUUUCACAUGCUGUAAAAAUGCAGACAACACUUUAAGUAACAUUUUCAUACAGUGUUGUCAAGUCUUGUAAACGCAAAAAUAAGUUGUUUUCCUAUUUCCUAGGGGUGUCAUGAGAUGCUCAGUUCACACCAGAGCGGGUGUAAGAGAACGAAACAAGACAAAUUUUUAACAUGACUUUUAAGAAAGUACAAUAAAAAAAAGACUAUUGCAAUCUUCGAAUUUAAUACACUCACUAAAUUAUUAUAGAAUUCAAUUAAAUUAGGAAUUUAUUAAAAUUAAUUUAAUAAAUAAAUCAAAUUACUUAAAUAAAUGAAAUGUCUUGUAUUCUUUAUGUAAUGACAUGAAAUACACAACCUUUUUAAAUUUACCAGACACAUUAAGUGAAUUUGUCAUCACUAUCUGAUUGGUAGAUUUUACUUGGUAUCACACAUCGCUAAAAGAGACUGUAUGACUGACCAUAGGGCUUACUCCAUUCAUGUCGUCGUUCUAUGGAACAAACGUGCCAAGGUGCUCAAACCAAUGCACAGAGUGAACCCUCUUCCUGCCUGUUUGGAGGCUAGACACGAGGAAAACAGACACUUAUGCACAUUGCGGCUGGCAAAAUGAUCAAGUUCAUUUUCAUUUAGUGUGUGAUUGAUUAAUUUAUCGUCCCAGGCGUAGUGCUCACAAGACAUGUUUUUCUGAACGAGAAAUCUCGUCAUGUUUUAAUCUCGCGAGAUCUUGUGACACCCCUACUUUUGUGUACAACCUACUGUACAGGUAAUGUUAUGCAGCAUUUGUGCAUCGUUAAAUGUCAUGCACGUAAGAGGGACGGAGUCACAGUAAAGAGGGAGAGCCACAAACGAGGGAGGAGUCAAAACCUCCACCUUCCAAAUGCUAAAUGAGUGUCUUUAGCAGGAAGUAGUGUAGUAGUCCUUUUAAUUCAAAAGACUUGGAGGGAGGUCACAUGAUAAAAAUGGAUCAAACAUGACAUGUUCCGAUAAAAACAUCUCAAGUUUCAACAGUGAUGCACUGCUAGGCGCCGUCUAAAAGCCAGUGAUGGAUCCAAAAGGACACUCCAUCCAUCGGACACUUUGGCAGUUAUCAUUACUCUACUGAGCCUCCUUUUUGUUUCCCUUCGCCCUGAUGCAUUAUGUCUUGUGUAUCUUCCAAAAACAAGGCUCGUCCCUGACAGCUACACACCUUACCAGAUCUUGGCGCAUCUCAGCGGGGUGCCAACAAGACAAUCGGAUUGAAGCCUCCCCUCCAUGAUGAGACGUCUCGGGUGGUUUUUUAAAUUUUUAUUCUAGCAUUGUGGAACACUUAAAAGGUGACAUAUUGUUUGUCUGUCAGAUGACGAAGUCUGCCACUUCCUCAGACAGCAUGUCGCCACAAUUUAGUAACAAAUUGUAUGAAAACGUUAUUUUCUAUUCGUCACUGCUAAGGAGCCUGCUUCUGACACCAUUUAAGCCCACAAGGAGAAAAAACAAGAAUAAAGCCCUAUUUUUCUAAACUGCAAAAUGCUUGUAAUAUUACAACUUUAUUCUUGUAAAUGUAACUUUUAUUGGUAAACUUACUUGCAGGCUCUUUGGCACUGUAGCCAUAUCAUCUAAUGAUCCCACUUCUGAUACCAAUAGUCAGAACAACUCUGAAGGGUCACACAAUGCAUUUUAUUCUCGGUCAGUGCUAAAAAAAAAAAAAAUUAAUCUAUGCACCUUGCCUCUGACACCACCUGUCCGAACAACCCUGAAGGGCCACACAGAAAGCUACAAUAAAAAAUGAGGGAAAAAGUAAAAUUGACUAGAAUACAUUUGUAAUUUUACAAGAAUAAAAUCAAAGUAGCCACAAGGUGACCUAGUGGUUAGCUGUCAGGAGAUCUGGAAAAUGUGGAUUCAUAUCUCCGUUUGGGCAAAAUGCAAAUCUCUGUGUGGAGUUUGCAUGUUCUUCCCGUGGGUGUGUGAGCUUCCUCCCACAUUCCGAAAAUAUGCAUGUUAGGUUAAUUAGGUUAGACUCAGGUAUGAAUGGUUGUUUGUCUAUGUAUAUGCCCUGCGAUUGGCCGGCGACCUCCUGCUCAAAGUCAGCUGGGAUCCCCGCGGCCCUAGUGAGGACAAGCCACAUAGAAAACGAAUGAACGAAAAUCAGUGUUUUGAGACAAAAAUAAAUGUUAAGUUAUAAAUAUUUGAAGCCAGCAGCUGCUCUCUAUUGCUGGAUAUCCACCUUAUAUUAAAAUCAUUAGAAAUGUAUAAAUUUUCUUCGUAAUAUUACAAGGCUGUUUAUUUCACCUUUGUUUCAUUCAACAUCGUCUUAUUUUAGAGUGACUGAAGCCUGUUAACACUUUUGCCUCC
Dunckerocampus dactyliophorus (ringed pipefish) is the source of this 6805-nucleotide long non-coding RNA. RefSeq lists it as uncharacterized. Lineage: Eukaryota; Metazoa; Chordata; Actinopteri; Syngnathiformes; Syngnathidae. The record is from RefSeq and is a predicted model, not a curated record. The transcript is spliced from 3 exons.